GGAUAGAGGCCUACCAUGGUGGUAACGGGUAACGGGGUGUUAGGGCACGACACCGGAGAGGGAGCCUGAGAAACGGCUACCACAUCCAAGGAUGGCAGCAGGCGCGCAAAUUACCCAAUCCCGACACGGGGAGGUAGUGACAAUAAAUAACAAUACGGGGUUCUUUCGGAUCUCGUAAUUGGAAUGAGUACAAUUUAAAUCUCUUAACGAGGAACAAUUGGAGGGCAAGUCUGGUGCCAGCAGCCGCGGUAAUUCCAGCUCCAAUAGCGUAUAUUAAAGUUGUUGCAGUUAAAAAGCUCGUAGUUGAAUUUCGGGGUUAGUAGGUUGGUCAUGCCUCUGGUAUGUACUGGUCUCACUGAUUCCUCCUUCCUGAUGAACCGUAAUGCCAUUAAUUUGGUGUUGCGGGGAAUUUGGACUGUUACUUUGAAAAAAUUAGAGUGUUUAAAGCAAGCUAACGCUUGAAUACAUUAGCAUGGAAUAAUGAAAUAGGACGUUCGAUCCUAUUUUGUUGGUUUCUAGGAUUGACGUAAUGAUUAAUAGGGAUAGUUGGGGGCAUUAGUAUUCAAUUGUCAGAGGUGAAAUUCUUGGAUUUAUUGAAGACUAACUACUGCGAAAGCAUUUGCCAAGGAUGUUUUCAUUAAUCAAGAACGAAAGUUAGGGGAUCGAAGACGAUCAGAUACCGUCGUAGUCUUAACCAUAAACUAUGCCGACUAGGGAUCGGAUGA
RNAcentral lists this ribosomal RNA (725 nucleotides) under uncultured fungus. RNAcentral describes it as "SSU rRNA". It matches the Rfam family "Eukaryotic small subunit ribosomal RNA", at positions 331 to 1060 of the family's 1831-position model. The record is from RNAcentral. Lineage: Eukaryota; Fungi.